RNAcentral lists this ribosomal RNA (497 nucleotides) under uncultured bacterium. Its description in RNAcentral is "partial 16S ribosomal RNA". It matches the Rfam family "Bacterial small subunit ribosomal RNA", at positions 28 to 507 of the family's 1533-position model. The record is from RNAcentral.
GAUGAACGCUGGCGGCGUGCCUAAUACAUGCAAGUCGAGCGAACAGACGAGGAGCUUGCUCCUCUGACGUUAGCGACGGACGGGUGAGUAACACGUGGAUAACCUACCUAUAAGACUGGGAUAACUUCGGGAAACCGGAGCUAAUACCGGAUAAUAUAUUGAACCGCAUGGUUCAAUAGUGAAAGACGGUUUUGCUGUCACUUAUAGAUGGAUCCGCGCCGCAUUAGCUAGUUGGUAAGGUAACGGCUUACCAAGGCGACGAUGCGUAGCCGACCUGAGAGGGUGAUCGGCCACACUGGAACUGAGACACGGUCCAGACUCCUACGGGAGGCAGCAGUAGGGAAUCUUCCGCAAUGGGCGAAAGCCUGACGCAGCAACGCCGCGUGAGUGAUGAAGGUCUUCGGAUCGUAAAACUCUGUUAUUAGGGAAGAACAAAUGUGUAAGUAACUAUGCACGUCUUGACGGUACCUAAUCAGAAAGCCACGGCUAACUACGUG